AUUGAACGCUGGCGGAAUGCUUUACACAUGCAAGUCGAACGGCAGCACGGACUUCGGUCUGGUGGCGAGUGGCGAACGGGUGAGUAAUGUAUCGGAACGUGCCCAGUCGUGGGGGAUAACGUAGUGAAAAUUACGCUAAUACCGCAUACGAUCUAUGGAUGAAAGCGGGGGAUCGCAAGACCUCGCGCGAUUGGAGCGGCCGAUAUCAGAUUAGGUAGUUGGUGGGGUAAAGGCCCACCAAGCAAACGAUCUGUAGCUGGUCUGAGAGGACGACCAGCCACACUGGAACUUAGGCACGGGCCAGACUCCUACGGGAGGCGGCAGUGGGGAAUUUUGGACAAUGGGCGAAAGCCUGAUCCAGCCAUUCCGCGUGCAGGAUGAAGGCCCUCGGGUUGUAAACUGCUUUUGUACAGAACGAAAAGGUUUCUACUAAUACUAGGAGCUCAUGACGGUACGGUAAGAAUAAGCACCGGCUAACUACGUGCCAGCAGCCGCCGUAA
This 500-nucleotide ribosomal RNA is filed under the name uncultured bacterium. Its description in RNAcentral is "partial 16S ribosomal RNA". It matches the Rfam family "Bacterial small subunit ribosomal RNA", at positions 30 to 523 of the family's 1533-position model. The record is from RNAcentral.